RNAcentral lists this ribosomal RNA (253 nucleotides) under uncultured bacterium. Its description in RNAcentral is "partial 16S ribosomal RNA". It matches the Rfam family "Bacterial small subunit ribosomal RNA", at positions 524 to 776 of the family's 1533-position model. The record is from RNAcentral.
GACGAACCGUGCGAACGUUGUUCGGAAUCACUGGGCUUAAAGGGCGCGUAGGCGGACCACACAGUCGGGGGUGAAAUCUUUCAGCCCAACUGGAAAAGGGCUUCCGAUACUGGUGGUCUCGAGGGAGGUAGGGGUCGAGGGAACUAAUGGUGGAGCGGUGAAAUGCGUAGAUAUCAUUAGGAACGCCGGUGGCGAAAGCGCUCGACUGGACCUCUUCUGACGCUGAGGCGCGAAAGCCAGGGGAGCAAACGGG